Molecule: ribosomal RNA, 292 nt
Filed under: uncultured bacterium
Lineage: Bacteria
Description: partial 16S ribosomal RNA
Rfam family: Bacterial small subunit ribosomal RNA
Source: RNAcentral
GUGCCAGCAGCCGCGGUAAGACGAACCGUGCGAACGUUGUUCGGAAUCACUGGGCUUAAAGGGCGCGUAGGCGGAUCGACCAGUCUGUGGUGAAAUCCUUCAGCUUAACUGGAGAAGUGCCGUGGAUACUGUCGGUCUCGAGGAGGAUAGGGGCAUCUGGAACUGCCGGUGGAGCGGUGAAAUGCGUUGAUAUCGGCAGGAACUCCGGUGGCGAAGGCGAGAUGCUGGAUCCUUUCUGACGCUGAGGCGCGAAAGCCAGGGGAGCAAACGGGAUUAGAAACCCUGGUAGUCC